RNA transcript from Phoenix dactylifera (date palm), 1614 nucleotides. It is a transcript of the gene named cardiolipin synthase, with no coding region annotated. NCBI's taxonomy places the organism in Eukaryota, Viridiplantae, Streptophyta, Magnoliopsida, Arecales, Arecaceae. The record is from RefSeq and is a predicted model, not a curated record.
CAUCUGAAGUAAAGUCGGCAGAUUAUAAUGUACGCGGAAAAACCCAGGGACACUUUUCUUUCUUCUCCUCCGCGAUGGUCUUCAAUGGCCAUCUUCAGAACCCUAAGGAUCCUCAUCCGAAACCCUAACCCUACAUCCCGCCUCUCCUUCCACGCCUCCGAGCUCCCCUUCUCCUCCUCCACGCCCUCUCCUCACUCUCUCGCCACCUUCUCUCCUUCUACUACCUCCCCCGCCCUCGCCGUCGUCCCCAACCCCUUUUCCUUCGUUCUGCGCCUCACCUCCUCGCACCCAACCCUCUUGUCCCCUCUUUCCCGAUGGGUUCCGUUCUCUGGCCCGCUCUUCCUCUCCUCGCCGCCGUGGAAGCUCUCGCAGUCGGCUACCCCUCUGUAUUUGCGCGGAAAAGAAGCGAUCUUUCCAAAAGAUUUGCUCAAAGUUCGGAGCUUCCCGAUCAGAUUAGGAUUCAGGUCGGUAGGGGAGGUUGGGAGAGGUGUUGGGGAUGUGAUCGGAUGGAGGCAAGCGCCGAACGUUGACGGAGAGAUUGGGAGGGUGGGGAUUGGUGAGAGCUUCCUAAAUUUGCCGAAUUUGAUCUCCCUCAGUAGGAUGGUGUCUGGCCCUUUGAUUGGGUGGAUGAUUAUGAGUGAGUGGUAUCUUCCUGCUUUUGGUGGUUUGGUCAUCUCGGGGGCAACUGAUUGGUUGGAUGGGUUCCUUGCAAGAAAGAUGGGUAUUAAUUCAGUGAUUGGAUCAUAUCUUGAUCCCCUUGCUGAUAAGGUUUUAAUUGGAUGUGUUGCAGUAGCUAUGGUGGAUAAGAACCUUCUACAUCCUGGGCUUGUUGGCCUAGUGGUGUUAAGAGACAUUGGUCUUGUCAGUGGUGCAAUUUGCAAGCGAGCUUCUAGCUUGGGGUGGGAGUGGAGGAGUUGGUCCGAUUUUAUCAACGUUGAUGCAACUCAUCGAGAGAAGAUGGAGCCCCUCUUUAUAAGCAAGGUGAAUACAGUUUUCCAAUUGCUCUUAGUAGCCACUGCUCUUCUUCAACCAGAAUUUGGUAGUGAAGAAACCCAUCUGUAUAUAACAUACUUGAGUUGUUUGGUAGCUUCAACAACGGUUGCAUCUUCAAUAGCUUAUGGAGCACAACAUCUUUGUAAGAGAUCAGCUUCUGCCACAGAGAAAUGGUGCAACAGGUCAAGCAGCAAGUCUUUAUGAUGCCACGAGAUCAUUUUCUCAUCAAUUUAAUUAGACUGUUGGAAGUGCUGGUCAUGUUUAUUGUUCCAAGCCGCAUGCAUCUAAAGGGGUUUGUGAAGCACAACUCUGUGUUGGCUUACAGGUCAGGUUAAGUUCAUGGCCACAGCACCUCCAACAAGGCCAAGGCAACACCAAGCGAGUCUUACCUCGAAAACUAGAAGAUGGAUCACAGGUUAUCUAACAGGGUGGAAGGUGAAUAUGGUGGUUCUAAAUUUCAUUUAUGAAGUUGAGAAAUGACACUAUCAUAACUGUAAUGCAUGAUAUGAUAUAUUGUGCUAGUUCAAACACAUGCAAAACAAGAAACAGUCACAGAUGAUUGUGGUACAAAGCUAAAGUUUAUAAAUAAUGGAAAUGAAGAGUGGACCAACAAAAUUGCCA